Molecule: ribosomal RNA, 382 nt
Filed under: uncultured eukaryote
Lineage: Eukaryota
Description: partial 18S ribosomal RNA
Rfam family: Eukaryotic small subunit ribosomal RNA
Source: RNAcentral
UGUAAGCGUAUACCAAAGUUGUUGCAGUUAAAACGCUCGUAGUCGGAAUUUGGCAGUUCCGGAUGUGUGCACGUCGUGUGCGCACUUCGCGGGGAUUGCUUUUGUGGUCUUGCGUAGGAUGAGGCACUUUUAUUAGUGAACGUCCUCACGCAACCACUUUUUACUGCGAGAAAAUCAGAGUGCUCAAAGCGGGCAUUUGCCGUGAAUGUAUUAGCAUGGAAUAAUAGAAUAGGACUUGGUUCUAUUUUGUUGGUUUGUUGGGACUGAGUAAUGAUUAAGAGGGACAGUUGGGGGCAUUUGUAUUUCGGUGCUAGAGGUGAAAUUCUUAGAUUACCGAAAGACAAACUGCUGCGAAAGCGUCUGCCAAGGAUGUUUUCAUUGA